GCCAGCCGUGGGCUUUUUUGCUGGUUUAUGGUAUCAAGCGCAUCGAAGGCCGGACAUGGGCCGCUCCUAUUAGAGGCCGCCUUUGGAUUCAUGCCGCUAGUAAGAGGCUACAAUCAAAGCAAUGGAGGACUUCUACAGGGAAAUUUAUGCAGUGGAUGGAAUCACUGAUCUUAAAUUUCCAGGAACAUUAUCCAGUUUCAAGACUUUCAGGUAUUCAAGGUUUGGUACUUUUUGUGAUACACGUUCCUUGUGUGUGUGCACAAAUUUGGGGAUGUUAAGAUCAGUCAGAUAGCUGGAAAGAAAGGAUGAAAAUACCCAAAGGCACCCUUCCAUGUCAUGCUUAUACCAACUGGAUUUUGAGUCGGCUGGUUCAAGUUGUGUUGCUAAACAUAUUUGCUGUGAACCAAUUAUUAAGCGCAGGAAUAUGUAGUAUUUUGGAAACUUUUGCAGCUAAAGUUUGAAGUCUCGUUAUUCUAAGAUGUUUUGCUGAGGUUGUUUCUUUAGUUCCCUAUUUUGAGAGAUAGGGGGAUGGCAAAAUACUUCCAUAGUAAAACUUCUGUUCUGUAUAGCUUUUAUGACAUCACAUCACAUGCUUAUUCAUAUAUUUGUUUCAUAUUACACCCAAUUA
Molecule: non-coding RNA, 628 nt
Organism: Prunus avium (sweet cherry)
Lineage: Eukaryota; Viridiplantae; Streptophyta; Magnoliopsida; Rosales; Rosaceae
Source: RefSeq, a predicted model, not a curated record